UCUUCAGCUACUUACCUUUACUCUUACUUGUUAGCUUGAGCCUGUCAUCUAUCACUCCUACUCUUAAACAACUCUCUGGAAGUCGCGGACCUCUCCAAAACACAUACAAUGUCUUAAAGAAUACAAAUCUACCAGUCAGAAUAGGAUAAAGAAGUAGGAACUCGCCUAGUGCCCAACAGACUAAAGCGCAUAACUAAGGCUUUCGCUAUACUUAUAUAAAACCUACCGUUCUUAAGCUACUGAUCCCAAGGCUCUCUACUGACUUUUAGUCCCGUACAGCUUCUUUCACUCUUUAACUACAGCUUUAAAGCCUUUGAACUUAUAAGUAAUAAUA
This 334-nucleotide long non-coding RNA is filed under the name Musa acuminata (dwarf banana). RNAcentral describes it as "long non-coding RNA (MACU_LNC011672)". Lineage: Eukaryota; Viridiplantae; Streptophyta; Magnoliopsida; Zingiberales; Musaceae. The record is from RNAcentral.